This 652-nucleotide ribosomal RNA is filed under the name uncultured bacterium. Its description in RNAcentral is "bacterial SSU rRNA". It matches the Rfam family "Bacterial small subunit ribosomal RNA", at positions 232 to 881 of the family's 1533-position model. The record is from RNAcentral.
CGCGGCCUAUCAGCUUGUUGGCGGGGUAAUGGCCCACCAAGGCGACGACGGGUAGCUGGUCUGAGAGGAUGGCCAGCCACAUUGGGACUGAGAAACGGCCCAGACUCCUACGGGAGGCAGCAGUGGGGAAUCUUGCGCAAUGGCCGAAAGGCUGACGCAGCGACGCCGCGUGUGGGAGGACGCCUUUCGGGGUGUAAACCACUGUUGCCCGGGACGAACAGCCUUUUUCGAGAGGUCCGACGGUACCGGGUGAGGAAGCACCGGCUAACUCCGUGCCAGCAGCCGCGGUAAUACGUAGGGGGCAAGCGUUGUCCGGAUUUAUUGGGCGUAAAGAGCUCGUAGGCGGCUUGGCAAGUCGAAUGUGAAACCUCCAGGCUCAACCUGGAGAUGCCAUUUGAUACUGCCAUGGCUAGAGUUUGGUAGGGGACCACGGAAUUCCUGGUGUAGCGGUGAAAUGCGCAGAUAUCAGGAGGAACACCAGCGGCGAAGGCGGUGGUCUGGGCCAAUACUGACGCUGAGGAGCGAAAGCGUGGGGAGCGAACAGGAUUAGAUACCCUGGUAGUCCACGCCGUAAACGUUGGGCACUAGGUGUGGGGACCUAUCGACGGUUUCUGUGCCGCAGCUAACGCAUUAAGUGCCCCGCCUGGGGAGU